GCUAAGCCAGUAUUUGACUUUGUCCUUAAGUGAAAAAGAAAAUAGGGUCAGUCUAAGUGCAUCAUCAAUAAAAUUUUAAAUUUUCACCAUGGAUCAGAUUUCUAAGAACUCAUCUAGAUGCUUGUAAAGAUCUUCAUUGGUAUUCCCAUAGAAAGAUCGGAGUCUGUAAAUUGACUAUCUCAAUGCCCUUGAUCUCACAGCU
Molecule: long non-coding RNA, 202 nt
Filed under: Elaeis guineensis (African oil palm)
Lineage: Eukaryota; Viridiplantae; Streptophyta; Magnoliopsida; Arecales; Arecaceae
Description: long non-coding RNA (EGUI_LNC034745)
Source: RNAcentral